GGAGAAAUGACCGAGAGAUCGAAGGUGCCUGACUCGAAAUCAGGUGAAGGUUUCAUAUCUUCCUAGGGUUUGAAUCCCUAUUUCUCCG
RNAcentral lists this transfer RNA (88 nucleotides) under Clostridium grantii DSM 8605. It matches the Rfam family "tRNA". Rfam says of the family: Transfer RNA (tRNA) molecules are approximately 80 nucleotides in length. Their secondary structure includes four short double-helical elements and three loops (D, anti-codon, and T loops). Lineage: Bacteria; Bacillati; Bacillota; Clostridia; Eubacteriales; Clostridiaceae. The record is from Rfam by way of RNAcentral.